RNAcentral lists this long non-coding RNA (2457 nucleotides) under Equus caballus (horse). Its description in RNAcentral is "lncRNA (ENSECAG00000057403.1)". The record is from RNAcentral. Lineage: Eukaryota; Metazoa; Chordata; Mammalia; Perissodactyla; Equidae.
AGGGCACCAAGAGUGCAGAUCAGGGAGAGAGAUCAAUGUUUUUCAGACUCUUAACAAAAUGUCUUCACAACUAGAAGGACCUGCAACUGAGAUAUACAACUGUGUACGGGGGGGGGGGGGGGGGAGGGGGUUGGGGACACAAAGCAGGAAAAGAAAUGUCUUAUUUAUAUACAUAUACCUGCUAAUGCACAAACACACACAAAUAUAUUUAACUGGAACAAACGUUUCAAGAAACUAUAGUUACACUCAUUGUGAUGCAGGCCAGUAUUUUCUAUUCGAUUCCAUUCCACUAAAAUACAUAAAUUAGAUAUAUUUUAUAUAUUAAUACAUAUAACAGUUAUUUUAUAGAUAUUAUUUAUUCCAUUCCGCUAAAGCAUAUAUAUGUGUGCAUACACACACACAUAUAUAUGCAUGCAUCCUUUUCGGGUCGUGAAUGAGGUUUGGAAGCGGACUCAGGAGCGCGACCAGCGCUAGGGAUUCCCACGAUCCGACACGUCCACAGCCAUGGUACCAGCGGUCUCAGGUUAUUCUGUUUAGGGACAAAUGACGUCCCUCUUUUCCACCUGCCAAUGAGGAAGAUCUCAGAGUGAGUCAAGACUCGCAUUUACCAAGUCAGCUGGAGUAGACUUAGAUUCUAAGCUCCAGUUUCAUGCUGUGGCAUCUGGGGAACCCGAUAACACUACCGGAAAUCCCCCUCUUUCUCCUUCCACGGGCCAGCGCAGAGGGGAGCAGGUGGGUGGAAAACUGAGGCGAGAAGCCAUCGGAAUUAAACCGAGAGAAGAGAAACUACCGUGGGGGGGGUGGGUAAGCUCCUGCUGUUAACACUGCCCCUCCCCCAAGAACUCCCGCCCGCCCGCCUCCAACUCCGCCCCCCUCUUUCUCCCCCCGUCGGUCGCUCCUCCACCCCGACAUCUCCUUUCUCCCUGCAGAGGAACAGUUCGCCGCGUAGCAGCCGCUGGGGCGCUGGGAGCGGCGGGAAGGGUGGAAGAAGGCAGGCGCAGAGGCCCGGAGAGGCGGGAGCCAGGUCGCGGCCCCGCAGCCGCUCCGGUCUCAGUCCGGGUAUUCUCGGUGGCAGAGCCCGGGCCUGGCCGCCGGCGCCGCGGGUGGGAGGACGGCGCCUGGAGCGGAGCCCGGAGGCGCGAAGAGGAGGAGCGGGUCUCAGUCCUGGGAGCGGGAACAGCGCAGGCAAGCCGGGGAACCUCGGGGGCGGUGACCGAGGGCUGGACAGCUCGGGUCACCGCGGGACCCCACUAGGGGACUACGGGGAACCGGCCUCACCCGCGGAGCGCUGAGAAUAACCCAGCGGGCAUUCAAACUGGCGAGUCCGGCUGCGUUCCUGCGGCCCGCGCCCAGCCGAGCCCUGAUUGGCGUUCACGCAGCCAAUCAUAGCCUCAGGGCCUGAGGUGGGUGGGGCCGGAGCGGGCCGGGCGCGCCCGCGGAGGCGGACCCCGAGGACCCUGUCUUCUGGGUGCGCCAGAAACGGAGGGGGGCCGGUUGGCGCGUCCCGCUUCUCCGCGCCUCGUUGGAAGGCCACACCCGGGCCUGGAGACCUGGACAGAAGCGGACACUGCGACUCAAAACCCCAGGCUCAAUGGGAGAUGCCUACCGUGCAAAGUCCCGGAGCGCUGGCCUGGAGGAAGAGGGCGUCCCGCGCCUGUGCAAAUACCUGGAGAACGCGCGGGAGACGAUGCUGCUGCAGGGUAUCGAAAGAGGGUAACAACCUCGUCUUCAAGUAAAUAAAGGGAGGGAUUCAAAUUAUAAGGCAAAGGAAAAAUUGGUUCUUUGCUGUGGGGAAGAGUUGCUGAAAAUUAAAGAACAAUCUCCUGAGCUGAAGGAAGCUUUGGGUUUGGUAAUUUGGGGUGUGGGGCAGGCCUUCCAGAAUGCCAAGGGCGUCAAGACUAGUGUGUCUCGCCCUUAGUGUUUCCUUCCUCCAUUUGAGAGAGCUUUCUGGCAUAGAACAAAAAAAAAGUUCACCCCUUCUUGUCUCUGCUGACACCUAGAUUCUUCUCAGCUGUAUGUCCCUGUUCCUAUUAGGGUAACACAGGAUGGGGGAAGAAUAGCUCAGUGAUCUUCCCUUCACAUCUCCCCUAAAAGCAUUGUGAAAUAUCAUGUGCCCCCUCCCACAGGCUUAGGUUGACCUGAAAUUCUCAGCAUGUGUUCAAAGAAUUGCAAAGAAUGUAAUUUACAACAUAUUAUAUGUAUAUAUAUAUUAACACGUUUAAAUAAAACUGUUAAUCACAUGUCCAAUGGAAUCUAAAUACCAUAACAUUUUGACACCCAUCGUUAAUUUUUUAAAUGCACAAUCUCUUUCUUAACAGUUGGAAAUUUUACACUGUUCCUUUUUUUUCCUUUGAAUUCAUAUUUUCAUUUUAUUCUCCCUAUAGAAUUUUUUUUUUUUUUUGAAUUCUCAAGCCUGGCUGCAUCCUCAUGUAAUAUAUUUUUGUUCUUGGACUUCUU